GUUUAUCAAGGGUAUUUCAGUAUAACCUGGUGCCCUAACAUGCUUGCAAUAAAUGCUACUCUCUUUGUCCAAACUAACUAACACACACUGGAUCAUCAUAAGGGAGAACCGUUAACCCUAGUCUUGAACUUCUGAGGAGAACCGUUAUCUAUAGGUAGUCUUGAACUUCUGAGGAGAACCGUUAUCUAUAGGUAGUCUUGAACUUCUGAGGAGAUUCUCCAGCUGGAUGGCGCCAUGGCCUCUGCUGGCGCGAGGUCUGAGAAUGGCUCCCAUGUUUACGCUAGUGUGACUGGUGUUUGGGACUGCAGUCAGCUCUGCAGCUGAAACCCCUUCUGCUUGAGACACAGGACACCUGUUGAGACCCAGUCACUGCAGGCCAAUGUGUACACACUCCAUACAUAUAUAUAUAUUCCUCCCGUGUCCUCUUUCUUUAUUAGAGAUGAGUACAUUUAUAUUUCUUCCUCUGCAUUUUAUUUUUGUUUUGUAUUUCAUUCUCGUACUACGCUUUGGAAUAUUCUCUUUUCAGGUGUGUGUCUCUGGUCAUGUUUCUCAGAAUGUUCCUGGCAGAUAUACGAUGACCUCAACCUUUAGAAAGUCAUAAACAUUCAUUUCUGUUGGAGAUUUGACGCCGUCUUUUCUUCUGCCCAUAAGCUUAGUCAUACCCUCACAGAGUUCUUGUGCUUAUAUUUCCCACCGAAGAGUGAAACACUUUGCUGAAUAUAUCUUUUAAUGUUACAGUAUCACUUUCCACUGGACUUCAGUGACAAGACCCCCCCCCCCCCCUUGAUUUGCUGUGUGAUUUAAAUGAAAUUAACCUUGAAGAUGCAAACUGCAACUGGAAUCAAUCUAAUCACCAAUACAAGGCAAACUCAGAGUACAGGUUAGCCACUAGCAAAUCAGCAUUAUGAAACAAACACGAACCCACUUGCAGAUAGAGAAAGACUGUAGACUUACCAAAGAGGUUUCUGUCGAACUUGUCAUGCAUGGGCUCCUGAUGCCAUCAGAACUUAGACUGUUGGCGUUUAACGAAUCGCACGUUCACGUACUACACUCCUGCUUAUGAGCUUUGCUCC
Molecule: long non-coding RNA, 1073 nt
Organism: Clupea harengus (Atlantic herring)
Lineage: Eukaryota; Metazoa; Chordata; Actinopteri; Clupeiformes; Clupeidae
Source: Ensembl